RNAcentral lists this ribosomal RNA (253 nucleotides) under uncultured bacterium. Its description in RNAcentral is "partial 16S ribosomal RNA". It matches the Rfam family "Bacterial small subunit ribosomal RNA", at positions 524 to 776 of the family's 1533-position model. The record is from RNAcentral.
UACGUAGGGUCCGAGCGUUAAUCGGAAUUACUGGGCGUAAAGCGUGCGCAGGCGGUUUUGUAAGCCAGAUGUGAAAUCCCCGGGCUUAACCUGGGAAUGGCAUUUGGGACUGCAAGGCUUGAGUGUGGCAGAGGGGACUGGAAUUCCUGGUGUAGCAGUGAAAUGCGUAGAGAUCAGGAGGAAUACCGAUGGCGAAGGCAGGUCCCUGGGCUGACACUGACGCUCAUGCACGAAAGCGUGGGGAGCAAACAGG